CGAUUUAGCGCUGUAGUGUAGACAUACCCAUACAGAUUUGCACAGGCACAUUUAGGGAAGGUAGGUACAAACACUGCCAAAAAUGUAUGACGUCUUCAAACUAAUGAGUAGGAGAAUGUGUAGAAGAUAAUCCCACACAGUAAAAGGCCUGACCAACAUCAGCUUCACACAGGAGCUCUACGGUGAGCACCUUCAAUUGUGCUGAUCUCAGGAGGAGCAGAGGGUGCUCAGCACCUAGCAACAUUAGGUUGUGUGUUCCCCAGACUGAAGUGCUUUCCGAUCAGUUUUUUCACUGUGUUGGAGCCUUCUAAGGACAUUGUGGUUACUGAGAACCAUCCAGGAGGUGAUCAGAAUGCUGCAUGACCAGGUGCUUCAAUGAGCAGAUAGAGGAUGAUCCCCUGAAACCACAUGUGCAGGGCCAGAUUUUCAAAGGCAUUCAAGUGCCUACAGAUGCACAUAGAUAGGCACCUAAUGGGAUUGAGAAAAGGACUUAAAUCAAUUAGGUGCCGCACACCAAUUGAGUUCAAUUGAAGUUAGGUGCUUAACUGGCUUACAUGCUUUUUUAAAAUCCUACAAGGCAUCUAUCUGCAAAUCUAGGCACCUUUGAAAAUCUGGUCCCUAGAGAAUUCAUCAACUUUUCUGUGCCUAUUUAGCUAACUAAUCUCUGGUUGCCAUCUUGUUGAAAAUGAAAUUCAUACCAACUCUCCAUUGCAAAACAAGUUUUAAAUGGGCUUGUGUUUAAGUGGCCUGAAAUACAAGAAAUGUACUUGAUCUUUAGCUACUCUGGCAAACCAUUUGGAGCAGGGGGGUUAGCCUUUAAUAAAAAUUCUUGAAAUCAAUAAAAUGCUCUACUCCAACUAACCAUCUGCAAGAUGGUGCAUAUACUUCACAGCCUAUGAAGUGAUACAUUACAAUAGCUGCCCAGUUGUUAACAGCUGCCUCUCUCCUUCUGUGUGUCCAGCAAGAGCUGAAACUGACAUUCAGACAUGGAAUUCAAAAAGUGGACCAGUUCUGCAAUUAUCAGGGUGGAUAGUGACCCUAGAACAGUCCCUUCCCUAAAACAAAGCUACCAUAGACAAUAUUUCCCUUGCUACAAAGUGGAUGCUGUAUUGCACAGAGAUGCUCAGAUCCCAUGGUGAUGGCUGUGGUUUCAGUACCCUGAUUGCCACUACAGCUGAUACAUGAUACACGCAUACCCAUAUUCUGAUUUUGGAAUGGGAUGUUUGAUUUUAAUUGAAGUCGGAGGAGACAAGAAGGUCCUGGUGUACAUAGAUAUAAUGGCCACCCUUACACACAAUUUCAAAAUCCUCAUGGCCUGAAGAUGUUAAGGGGACAUCCCUCCCAUUAUUCAGGAGUAAUAGGUUUGGCAUCUUCCCCCUUCAAUCUGCAGGCAGUAUCUAAAGUCCCUUUGUAACCUGGCCACUGCUAGUAAAGUCCUGCAGCCUCACUCCAUAGCUAUAGCAGAAACAGUGACCAGUUUUCUCAUCUUCUUCCCCCACUCCAACAGUUGACUGCAUAAGAAGUUGUGGCCCCGUGGGUCUGCUCAGCUUGCAGACUCAGUGAUAUACACUCACCCCACCUUGGCCCCUCCACACCCACCACCAUGGACUCUAGUGGAGAAAGCCAUCUCAGAGCUGGGUUGCACAAGACAGAAGAAGCUGCAUAAUCUUCUUGCAUAGCUUCCCCACAGCCCAGCUCCCCCUCCUUCUCCUGUAGAAUUAUAGAUAUGCUGUUGCACUUUAUGACUAGUCUGCUUUCAUUCUUCCCUCUUCAACUAGUGGUGAAGGGCAAGAUUUGGCCCUUUAUUCAUAAGUGGCACAUUUUGCAUAAUCUUUACAAAUAAUUCAGGAAUGAAAGGUUUGAGCAACCUUAAUCUAUAUGCUAUUUUCUUGGCUUUCUAGACACAGCUGAGUUGGCUCAUCUAGUUAUUGGAUACAGGAAUUGCCUCUUAGUGAAACGCUUGAUUUGCAUAACACACUUGCUUCUUUGAAAGCACAGACUUCCUCCCAAACAUAUAACAUGAUUCUGUGUUAUUUUCCAUUAAUUUACAAGGGAGAAUUCAAGCUUUAACCCCUCUAUUUUAUUUCACUCUUUAUCAGCUCUACUAUUAUAACAGUGAUGAAAUUGCCAGGUCUCAUUUUCAGGAUUUUAAAUUGUGAGUUUAUAUUGCAAUCUGAAAGACCAUUCUCCAAGUUCACCCUGGGAUUGUAAAGUAUUUAUUUAACAUAUCUAUCUGAAUCUUUGAGAAUAAAAGCACACCAUAUCUGAACAUACAGGCUCAGGAGUUUCAAAGUCUCACACUAUAAUAAUACUCCUCUAUCAGUUUAGAAUACUUUCCACAUGGAUCUCAAAGCUCUUUAUAAACAUCGAGUGAAUAAAACCUCACAACACUCGAGUGAAGGAAGGAAAUAUACCUUUUUGUGCAUGAGAGAACUGAGGCAAAGGGCAGUCAAAUGACUUGCACAAGGACACAUGUUAAAUCAACUACAUAGCAAGGAAUAGAAUUGGGACCACAAUUCAGAAAAUUUGAAAAUAGUUUGAUUUUCAAAAGUGCUGAGCAUUCUGAAGCUGUCAAUGAAAAAGUGUUCCAAGGACAAAGUGUGACUGAGUAUUAUUUUUCCACCCUAGAAUUGGCUGCAUUUCAGUGGUGAAUGAAAUAAUUCCUGGAAUAACUCAUAUAUUUAUGAGGCUUACAAAACUCAUUAGGACCCUUUGGAAUGAAAGGCAUUAUGGUUGUGAUAUUCAAAGGAGCCUAAAGGAUUCAAGCGCACAAAUCCCACCGAGGUUCAAUAGGAGAUGAGUGCCAGACUCCCCUAGACACCACUGAAAUCCCCAACCUAAGAUAUAUGUGCAUACAAAUAAAAAUUGGGAAUACAUAACUGCUUAACACAUUUUAAAAUAUGAUGUACAUAUUUGUGUACCAAUUUGCAUCUGUCCUUUUAUUUAUAUAGUAUUAAUCAAGAUCUUUACUGUAAUCAAACAAGCACAGUGAGCAAAGAUUGCUAAUAACAAAAGGCCAAAGAAUAAACAUUAAAAGAAGUAAGAAAGUAGUUUGUACACCAGUUUAAACCAGCAGAGGGUCCAGGUCUACAUGUACAUUGUAUUUCAAGUCUAUCCAUAAUUACUGCUGCAAAAAAUAACAAAGGUAAUAAAAGUUCAACCAGACUCAGAGAAAGAUCAGUGAAUAAAGAUCUCCAUUCCCACAGACAUUAGUGAACUUUUAUCAUGACAAACAGGCUAUCGCAGUAUAAUGGGAUUUUACUGAAGUUUAUUGCUGCACUGUUUAUAAUAACAUUGCAUCCAGCCUGCCUUGUUGGUACUUUUGCAUUACAGGGUAACAGUUCUGAGGUGGCAGCAAACAGCUUCCGUGCUUGUGUCAGGAGAAAUAAAACUGUUAUUAUUUCAUACACUUCAGAGGCCACACUCAAACUCAGCAGUUAUGCAGAGCUGUUGUGAAUAGAAAGCUCUGCUGUAGAACACUGGGCUGCCCCCACAACAAUAAGCUGUCUUCCCUCCAAUCUACUUUUGGCUUCCUGCCAGUUGCCCAUUUGCUUUACACCAUCAAUUUAUAUUCACUGAGAUGGUGUAAGGUUCUAGAACAGCACUGAUUAGCAAAUGUGCCUGCCAAACAUAUGAGCAGUAAAAGCUGGUCUUCCAGAGGCCUACGUUUAUAAUACAAGGGCCCAAUCCCGCAAGGACUUACCACAAGACACGUUGUUUACAAAAAUAAGCUGUCCAAAUGAUGCCAAGGGGACCUCGUAUGGUAAUAAACUUUGUAUCUGGUGAGACGUCUUUGCAGAAUUGGGCUCUAAGCUAUUUAACUUUGCCCAUUCCAGUUUUAGAGUAGUUCUCUUUAAAAGCUUUUCAGUCUGGUAUAAUCCAGGCAAAAAUGCUUGUGUUUUUUGCCAGUUUUGUUUUGUUUUUGUACAGCAAAAAUUUGCCAGCAGAUAUUAUUCAUUACUAUACAUGUGGAACAUUUUUAAUAGAGAAUUGAGUAUAGUAAGACAAGUAUGCAAUAUUUCCAACCCUAACUACUCAAAAAUAGAGAAUCAACCCCUUCACCCUUUAAAAAAGUUAUACAUUUUGGUAUCUCUUUAUUUGUCUUCUGACUUUUGAACCUGUCCAGUGUGGUCAAGUCAAUUUUUCAAGUUUUUUCAUGCACCCUUAAGAGCUAGAAAUUUACUUGAUUUUAAAAUGAAAAUUGAGGGUCUGAAAUAAAUGCCAAGAGCUGGCAAGGGCCUUCAGAAAAAUGUGGUAUAUCCUGAGACACACAAUUAAAAUCAGGAGAAAAAUACUGUGAAUUUUAGGAAAUUAACUAGCUUUAAUUAAUUUUUUCUUUAAAUAUUUUCAACUUAUGAGACUCUUGUGAGGAUAUUGUUUGGUUAUACAUAUAUAAAUUGCCCUGCAUCUAAGGCCAAGUCUACACUAAAAAGGAAUGUCCAAUCAAGAUACACAACUCCAGCUACCUUAAUUACAUUGCUGGAGUCAACGUACUUUGUUUUGAGUUUAUUUGCCUUCCUGGAAGGCCAAUGGAAACAAACACUCUCAUUGGCUUCCCUUACUCUUCACAGAAGGAGGAGUACUGGCCGCCCGCAGACACACCCUCUGAGUUUGAUUUAGCAAGUCUUAACUAGACUCUCUAAAUCGAACUCUGGAAGAUCGAUCACGGCAGUGUCAAUCUUCCAUUUAGUGAAGACAUGGCUUUAGAGAAGCUAAAAUUCCUGACUCUUUCUUUUCCACAUGUACUACAGUGAGAGCCACUUACUGAUAACUUGAAACCAUUGGCCCUUAUGUGAGACAAAUUCCUUUCAAAGUCAAUAGGAAUUGUCCAAAUGUAACAAAAGCAGGAUGAAGCUCUAAUUAAUGAGAGAUAAAAAAUGACAAAUGAAGAGGUUCCACAGAAUCAUUAUGACUAUCUGUUUGGAAAGCAAACCUGUAGUAAUAAAUACAUCACAGACCUAUUCUUUGACAGAAUGCUACACUAUAGCACCUACACAGUACACUCAAAACCACACAUGCAUUUUCUUAGCUUUAUUUAUCAAGUCCCCCAUCCUAAAUGCUGCGCAGGCAGACUCACAUUCUGGUGGAGUGCUCAGCAAGAUCAGACCCUGUAUUGCCAGCUAUUUGUAAAUAGGAAUACUAUUCAGAAUACGCAUCCUGUUGAAAUGUAACUUUAAAAUACCCUACCGUAUGUCCUAUGUUAUUUGAAGAGAGAUGACAGAGCCAAGGAUUGGAUUUCCCACUCAACAUUGAUUAUUUAUUAUAGCUCAUUUUCUUGCACUUUAAUAUGUGUUGUCUGUUUUUACGUAUUUGGGGACAAGAGAUAUGGGUUGAGAUGCACAACUUGGAUUCAGAUUCUGAACUUCAAAUAGCCCGUAGAUGCUUGGAUCUGGCAUUUUGGUUUGGAGUCUCCUGUACUAUAAACAAUAUCUCAAAUAAAUUCCAAACUGCCUGUCAACGUACUCAAACUGUAUUUUCUUCUAACCCUUCUCUUCCCUCUUGCCGGUAUGUGACUAGAAAUCUUUAGCUGAUUUUGACUGAAGGUAUCAACUCUUUAACUCAUUGUUUAAGUCAGUGAAAGUGCCCAGGUUGUCUAUGUCUAUUUAAAUAUAUAGUAGGAAAGUGGCCCAACAGAGACCACAGGGCUUCUGACACUUGUCUUUAUUGCCCAGUCAUAAAUUCAUAAAGGGAUGUAUACUACAACCAAUUGGCAAGUUUGUUGGAUAAACAUCAACACCAAUUUAAUGACUUGUGUACACAUUGUAAACCAGAGAAUCUUUAUACAAAGAAAUCAGAUAAAUCAAACAUGAGCUGAGGCUUAGAGAGAAGCAAUUAAAGCUUUAAGGUGAGGUUGCUGUGGGAGGGUCCUGUAUCACAUUAGAGCAUAUAAUAGAAAAUGUGUUAACAUGGACUAAAGUAUGUGCAAUUAAAUUAAUUAGUAAUAUAAAACACUUCUAAAGCAAUGUGUCCAUAGACAGAUAAGUAGAUAAAACAUAAGAGAUAAAUAAGCAUCCAGAGAUCUCAAUUCCCUUUUUCAUUAAGGAAAAAAUGAAAAUAGAAAUCAAAUUUACUAAAUAGACAUUUUAAGCAGUCUUGUUCACCCCAGGCAGGUGACAGAAACGAAAAAGCAUAGCUGCAACACACACAAAUAUCUAUUAAUUUGUUAUGUAAUGUUUAAUUUUUUAUACCAGCCUAUAAGACAAUUUAAAUCUAGUGCCUUCUAGACUUGUAUAAAAUACUUCAUGAUGUACUACUUUCUGAGGACUUGUAAGGAAACUUUCUGUUAAACAGGUUUAUUAUGGUAUCUCACUGUCUCUCUCUUAAGGUGAGUAAGAUAGCUAACGUGUGGGAACCAAAUUCUCUCUACUAUUUGCACAUCAAAAUGAGCUACUAAAUAUUCCUUCUCCACCAAAACACAGGCAUAAUAUUCUACCGGGAUUAAGGACCAUUAGUGUCUAUAGACUGUUAUGUACAGAACAAAAGCUCCCUUACCUACAGACACAUCCCCUGUGUCAUGUACAACAAAAUUCCAUGGCAGCACCACAGGAAGAGUUGGGUCAAGAGGUCCAUUCUUGGAUUAAUCCACAUGCACCAGAGAUAAUACAAAGAACCACCUGAGUAGUUUCAGCAAGUCAACUGUGUCUCCCUAGCAAUGCCUCAUCCCCUGUAUCUCCUACCACUCACAUUCUCCCCAAAGAACAUAGUCCAGUACUGAACUGAACUGAGUUUUUCUAGUAUCAGAGGGGUAGUCGUGUUAGUCUGAAUCUGCAAUAGCGGUGAGGAGUCCUGUGGCACCUUAUAGACUAACAGAAGUGUUGGAGCAAAAGCUUUCAUGGGCAAAGACCCACUUUGUCAGAUGAGUUUUUCUAGUAGCUGGUGGAGGGUCUCCAUGUUUGAGGGUCAGAUGUGAGAAAGUCUGGUUGUACAGGAAAUGGGUGCUCCCUCACUUGACUUCUUCCCUGACUUCCCUGACCAUACAGAACUUCAAAAGCCAGAAUGUAGCUGUGGCUUUGCCUGUCUUCUAGGAUCCCAGUGAUAUCAUACACAAGCUUCACCUCAUUUCAUUUGGUGCCUUCUGCUGUUACAGGGAUUUCUCAGGCUUAUGCCAUCAAUACAUACAGCAAAAGUCCCAAGUAUUCAACACAAGUUGAAUUUAGAGGUUUGAAGCAAAGGUAAUUGUAUGAGUUCACAAACAUUUUGUUAUUCACUCUAACUUGUAAUUCUUGGACCCCUAAAAACAUUUUCUUUGUUUUGGUGAUCGUAGGAUUCCAUUUAUUCAUAUCUGAAAUGAUAAGAUUCUAGAAUUUAGCCAUCAUAAUGUAGAAUGAUGUUAAGUCUCUCCUAAGGAAAACACAAUAUACACAACUUAUGUAAGGGGAAAAUGAAAAAGGAAUCAUUCACAAUCACAUUCCUGGUAUGCAAGCACCGGAUAAUCUAGCACUAAGAGCAGAGCUGGAAGCCUCAUAGGGCUCUGGGUGUCCACAUUGGAAGAAUGCAGAACAAUCAGCAGACUGAGGUAACCACAGGUCUCUCUGUGAGAAUCUGCAGAACAUGCACACUGAACUACACUUUAAGGCAGCUAUUUUUUUUCCACAUGAGGUAGGAAUAACUAAUGAGGCAACCAAGCUAUCAGCUACAUACUUUGACAUACCAGCAAUGCAUGAACUAAUGCCUUCUAACUGCAAUACCAGAAGAGAUGGCCCCUCAGGAUAAUACCUUCAGGAGUCUUUGUGAGCAAAGAGAUGAAAACCUGGAACUCUUAAACAGGCCUGGAUUGGACUGAUUUUAUUUUCAUGUGGGUUAUGAGAAGUCAACCAGGCAUUUGAUUUACAGGGAUUGGAAUUUGUCAUUCUUUUUUUGAUCCAUAUGGAGAUUCAGGUUAGUUCUCAAUGAAAACCUCAGUGUAAACCACCAUACAUUUCCUGCCCUCCCCCCUCCCCCAUCACCACGAUAAAAUCCCUUCAUUCCCUUUUACUUACCAACUCUUGAAGGCCUGGGACCACAACCUCUUGGUGCACAAACACACAUACACACAUCUUGGCUGUGUCUACACUGGCAUGAAUUUCCGGAAAUGCU
Non-coding RNA from Pelodiscus sinensis (Chinese soft-shelled turtle), 8076 nucleotides. NCBI's taxonomy places the organism in Eukaryota, Metazoa, Chordata, Testudines, Trionychidae. The record is from RefSeq and is a predicted model, not a curated record.